UACGAAGGGGGCUAGCGUUGCUCGGAUUUACUGGGCGUAAAGGGCGCGUAGGCGGACAGUUUAGUCAGAGGUGAAAGCCCAGGGCUCAACCUUGGAAUUGCCUUUGAUACUGGCUGUCUUGAGUACGGGAGAGGUGAGUGGAACUCCGAGUGUAGAGGUGAAAUUCGUAGAUAUUCGGAAGAACACCAGUGGCGAAGGCGACUCAUCGUGCCCGUUAGUCCGUAACCGGCCUGGAGGCGAG
RNAcentral lists this ribosomal RNA (241 nucleotides) under uncultured bacterium. RNAcentral describes it as "partial 16S ribosomal RNA". It matches the Rfam family "Bacterial small subunit ribosomal RNA", at positions 524 to 763 of the family's 1533-position model. The record is from RNAcentral.